AGAGUUUGAUCAUGGCUCAGAUUGAACGCUGGCGGCAGGCCUAACACAUGCAAGUCGAACGGUAGCACAGAGAGCUUGCUCUCGGGUGACGAGUGGCGGACGGGUGAGUAAUGUCUGGGAAACUGCCUGAUGGCGGGGGAUAACUACUGGAAACGGUAGCUAAUACCGCAUAAUGUCUACGGACCAAAGCGGGGGACCUCCGGGCCUCGCGCCAUCAGAUGAACCCAUAUGGGAUUAGCUAGUAGGUGAGGUAACGGCUUACCUAGGCGACGAUCCCUAGCUGGUCUGAGAGGAUGAUCAGCCACACUGGAACUGAGACACGGUCCAGACUCCUACGGGAGGCAGCAGUGGGGAAUAUUGCACAAUGGGGGAAACCCUGAUGCAGCCAUGCCGCGUGUGUGAAGAAGGCCUUCGGGUUGUAAAGCACUUUCAGCGAGGAGGAAAGGUUGGUGCCUAAUACGUAUCAACUGUGACGUUACUCGCAGAAGAAGCACCGGCUAACUCCGUGCCAGCCGCCGCGGUAAUAC
RNAcentral lists this ribosomal RNA (527 nucleotides) under uncultured bacterium. RNAcentral's name for it is "bacterial SSU rRNA". It matches the Rfam family "Bacterial small subunit ribosomal RNA", at positions 8 to 526 of the family's 1533-position model. The record is from RNAcentral.